UGGGGAAUAUUGCACAAUGGGCGCAAGCCUGAUGCAGCCAUGCCGCGUGUAUGAAGAAGGCCUUCGGGUUGUAAAGUACUUUCAUCGGGGAGGAAGGGAGUAAAGUUAAUACCUUUGCUCAUUGACGUUACCCGCAGAAGAAGCACCGGCUAACUCCGUGCCAGCAGCCGCGGUAAUACGGAGGGUGCAAGCGUUAAUCGGAAUUACUGGGCGUAAAGCGCACGCAGGCGGUUUGUUAAGUCAGAUGUGAAAUCCCCGGGCUCAACCUGGGAACUGCAUCUGAUAAUGGCAAGCUUGAGUCUCGUAGAGGGGGGUAGAAUUCCAGGUGUAGCGGUGAAAUGCGUAGAGAUCUGGAGGAAUAACGGUGGCGAAGGCGGCCCCCUGGACGAAGACUGACGCUCAGGUGCGAAAGCGUGGGGAGCAAACAGG
Molecule: ribosomal RNA, 429 nt
Filed under: Chloroflexota bacterium
Lineage: Bacteria; Bacillati; Chloroflexota
Description: Chloroflexi bacterium partial 16S ribosomal RNA
Rfam family: Bacterial small subunit ribosomal RNA
Source: RNAcentral